RNAcentral lists this ribosomal RNA (405 nucleotides) under uncultured bacterium. Its description in RNAcentral is "bacterial SSU rRNA". It matches the Rfam family "Bacterial small subunit ribosomal RNA", at positions 30 to 439 of the family's 1533-position model. The record is from RNAcentral.
AUUGAACGCUGGCGGAAUGCUUUACACAUGCAAGUCGAACGGCAGCACGGGGCAACCUGGUGGCGAGUGGCGAACGGGUGGGUAAUAUAUCGGAACGUGCCCAAUCGUGGGGGAUAACGUAGCGAAAGUUACGCUAAUACCGCAUACGAUCUACGGAUGAAAGCGGGGGAUCGCAAGACCUCGCGCGAAUGGAGCGGCCGAUAUCAGAUUAGGUAGUUGGUGGGGUAAAGGCUCACCAAGCCAACGAUCUGUAGCUGGUCUGAGAGGACGACCAGCCACACUGGAACUGAGACACGGUCCAGACUCCUACGGGAGGCAGCAGUGGGGAAUUUUGGACAAUGGGCGCAAGCCUGAUCCAGCCAUGCCGCGUGCGGGAAGAAGGCCUUCGGUUGUAACCGCUUUGUC